RNAcentral lists this ribosomal RNA (422 nucleotides) under uncultured Pedobacter sp. Its description in RNAcentral is "bacterial SSU rRNA". It matches the Rfam family "Bacterial small subunit ribosomal RNA", at positions 355 to 774 of the family's 1533-position model. The record is from RNAcentral. Lineage: Bacteria; Pseudomonadati; Bacteroidota; Sphingobacteriia; Sphingobacteriales; Sphingobacteriaceae.
UAAGGAAUAUUGGUCAAUGGAGGCAACUCUGAACCAGCCAUGCCGCGUGCAGGAAGACAGCCCUCUGGGUCGUAAACUGCUUUUAUUCGGGAAUAAACCUACUUACGUGUAAGUAGCUGAAUGUACCGAAGGAAUAAGGAUCGGCUAACUCCGUGCCAGCAGCCGCGGUAAUACGGAGGAUCCAAGCGUUAUCCGGAUUUAUUGGGUUUAAAGGGUGCGUAGGCGGCUUAUUAAGUCAGGGGUGAAAGACGGUGGCUCAACCAUCGCAGUGCCCUUGAUACUGAUGAGCUUGAAUGAACUAGAGGUAGGCGGAAUGUGACAAGUAGCGGUGAAAUGCAUAGAUAUGUCACAGAACACCGAUUGCGAAGGCAGCUUACUAUGGUUUUAUUGACGCUGAGGCACGAAAGCGUGGGGAUCAAACA